UGUGCCAGCAGCCGCGGUAAUACGUAGGGUCCAAGCGUUAAUCGGAAUUACUGGGCGUAAAGCGUGCGACGGGCGGUUGUGCAAGACCGAUGUGAAAUCCCCGAGACUUAACUUGGGAAUUGCAUUGGUGACUGCACGGCUAGAGUGUGUCAGAGGGGGGUAGAAUUCCACGUGUAGCAGUGAAAUGCGUAGAGAUGUGGAGGAAUACCGAUGGCGAAGGCAGCCCCCUGGGAUAACACUGACGCUCAUGCACGAAAGCGUGGGGAGCAAACAGGAUUAGAUACCCUGGUAGUCCACGCCCUAAACGAUGUCAACUAGUUGUUGGGGAUUCAUUUCCUUAGUAACGUAGCUAACGCGUGAAGUUGACCGCCUAGGGAGUACG
RNAcentral lists this ribosomal RNA (382 nucleotides) under uncultured bacterium. RNAcentral's name for it is "bacterial SSU rRNA". It matches the Rfam family "Bacterial small subunit ribosomal RNA", at positions 504 to 884 of the family's 1533-position model. The record is from RNAcentral.